AUGCACUUGCUUUGCUGCCUAGGGCUGGUCAUGUCUUGGCCAUCGGUGGUGUAUGCAACUUGUCACAACAUUCAUCUUAAUAUAUGGGCAUCCCACUGCCAAUUCCUCAAAAAUAAAGAAGAGGAUAGUCAUGCUCUCCUCACUCCUCUCUUCUCUCGUAUGAGAUUGGAUCUCACCGCCCCAUCGCCUCUGUGCACAUUGCCGAUGCGCCUCCUCACCGCCGCGGAGAUGAGUGAGUGGACGGAGCGACAACCUCCUCUGGCUGCGGACGAGAAAGAAAGCAAGGUGAGGCUGGUUCGCCGAGCACUGCGCGUGGCUGACCCCGAUGCCUCCUUCUCCCAUCGCCCUAGCUGGAGUAGAGAUGAAUAA
This 369-nucleotide ribosomal RNA is filed under the name Triticum aestivum (bread wheat). RNAcentral describes it as "partial small subunit ribosomal RNA". The record is from RNAcentral. Lineage: Eukaryota; Viridiplantae; Streptophyta; Magnoliopsida; Poales; Poaceae.